AUUGAACGCUGGCGGCAGGCCUAACACAUGCAAGUCGAGCGGAUGAAGGGAGCUUGCUCCUGGAUUCAGCGGCGGACGGGUGAGUAAUGCCUAGGAAUCUGCCUGGUAGUGGGGGAUAACGUCCGGAAACGGGCGCUAAUACCGCAUACGUCCUGAUGGAGAAAGUGGGGGAUCUUCGGACCGCACGCUAUCAGAUGAGCCUAGGUCGGAUUGGCUAGUUGGUGGGGUAAAGGCCUACCAAGGCGACGAUCCGUAACUGGUCUGAGAGGAUGAUCAGUCACACUGGAACUGGGACACGGUCCUGGGUCCUGCGGGAGGCAGCAGUGGGGAAUGUUGGACAAUGGGCGAGAGCCUGAUCCAGCCAUGCCGCGUGUGUGGAGAAGGUCUUCGGAUUGUAAAGCACUUUAAGGUGGGAGGAAGGGCAGUAAGUUGAUACCUUGCUGUUUUGACGUUACCAACAGAAUAAGCACCGGCUAACUUCGUG
RNAcentral lists this ribosomal RNA (484 nucleotides) under uncultured bacterium. RNAcentral describes it as "partial 16S ribosomal RNA". It matches the Rfam family "Bacterial small subunit ribosomal RNA", at positions 30 to 507 of the family's 1533-position model. The record is from RNAcentral.